This is a non-coding RNA of Arachis ipaensis, 461 nucleotides long. The record is from RefSeq and is a predicted model, not a curated record. NCBI's taxonomy places the organism in Eukaryota, Viridiplantae, Streptophyta, Magnoliopsida, Fabales, Fabaceae.
UUUCUUUUUGUUUAACAUAUUUCCCUUUUUGAAACCCUAACGCUUUGGCUCCUCGACACUCUUCGGCCGGGGGGAUUAGUCUCGAGCUUCAAUGGAACUACCUCAAUGUCACUGAAGGUGUUUCUCCUCUAUGAUAUUAAACAUCACAUGUCAAUUGGUUUACUCAUCCACCAAGAAUCAUGAUUUUGAGCUGAUUCUUUGAUUAAUGGGGUCUUCUCUUCUGAUGGAAGUAGCAGGCUUGCUAGCAGCGCCCAUUUUAAUAGAAGGUGUUUCCCCUUUGUGAUAUUAAACAUCACAGGUCAAUUGGUUUACUCAUGCACUAAGAAUCAUGAUUUUUAGCUGAUUCUUUAUCUAAUCUUGUCUUAUCUUCUGAUGGAGGCAGCAGUCUUGCUCACAGCGCCGAUGAUAAUACUCUCUCUCUCUCUCUCUCUCUCUCUCUCUCUCUCUCUCUCUCUCUCUCC